GCACGAGAAGAAGGAAUACUGCUGAGCGUGGCGCAGCAGUAACAUUCCGUCCAUGCGGUUGACAAAAGCCUCCGUACGCUCUCGCCCAUGUUCAUAUAAGGAACAGUCCCGAAGGUGUUCUUGAGCAGCACCCAGAAGACAGUGACUUGUAU
Long non-coding RNA from Felis catus (domestic cat), 152 nucleotides. RefSeq lists it as uncharacterized. The record is from RefSeq and is a predicted model, not a curated record. NCBI's taxonomy places the organism in Eukaryota, Metazoa, Chordata, Mammalia, Carnivora, Felidae. The transcript is spliced from 3 exons.